This 815-nucleotide ribosomal RNA is filed under the name Clostridioides difficile. Its description in RNAcentral is "partial 23S ribosomal RNA". It matches the Rfam family "Bacterial large subunit ribosomal RNA", at positions 371 to 1189 of the family's 2925-position model. The record is from RNAcentral. Lineage: Bacteria; Bacillati; Bacillota; Clostridia; Peptostreptococcales; Peptostreptococcaceae.
UCCUGUAUGUUAAACGAGAAGACUUUAGAUAUGAUCCAGAGUACCACGGGACACGUGAAACCCUGUGGGAAGCAGGAGGGACCACCCUCCAAGGCUAAAUACUACCUAGUGACCGAUAGCGUAUAGUACCGUGAGGGAAAGGUGAAAAGAACCCCGGGAGGGGAGUGAAAUAGAACCUGAAACCCUGCACUUACAAGCUGUGGAAGCACAUUUCUUGUGUGACCGCGUACUUUUUGUAGAACGGGCCAACGAGUUACGUUAAGUAGCAAGGUUAAGCACUUAAGGUGCGGAGCCGUAGCGAAAGCGAGUUUUAACUGAGCGUUCAGUUACUUGACGUAGACCCGAAACCGGGCGACCUACCCAUGAGCAGGAUGAAGCGAAAGUAAAAUUUCGUGGAGGUCCGAACCCACGAGCGUUGAAAAGCUCGGGGAUGACUUGUGGGUAGCGGUGAAAUUCCAAUCGAGCCCGGAGAUAGCUGGUUCUCCCCGAAAUAGCUUUAGGGCUAGCCUCAAGGUGAGAGAUACGGAGGUAGAGCACUGAAUGUCCUAGGGGGUAUUGCACCUACCGAAGACUAUCAAACUCCGAAUGCCGUCAUCUUAUACUUGGGAGUCAGACUGUGGGUGAUAAGAUUCAUAGUCGAAAGGGCAACAGCCCAGAUCGUCAGCUAAGGUCCCUAAAUGUAAGUUAAGUGGUAAAGGAUGUGGGAUUGCACAGACAACCAGGAUGUUGGCUUAGAAGCAGCCACUCAUUCAAAGAGUGCGUAAUAGCUCACUGGUCGAGUGAUCCUGCGCCGAAGAUUUCCGGGGCUAAAACUU